Molecule: transfer RNA, 75 nt
Filed under: Clostridium sp.
Lineage: Bacteria; Bacillati; Bacillota; Clostridia; Eubacteriales; Clostridiaceae
Also listed under: 8 other names
Description: tRNA-Pro
Rfam family: tRNA
About the family: Transfer RNA (tRNA) molecules are approximately 80 nucleotides in length. Their secondary structure includes four short double-helical elements and three loops (D, anti-codon, and T loops).
Source: RNAcentral
CGGGGUGUGGCUCAGCUUGGCUAGAGCGCUUGAUUUGGGAUCAAGAGGUCGCAGGUUCAAAUCCUGUCACCCCGA